Molecule: non-coding RNA, 83 nt
Organism: Morus notabilis
Lineage: Eukaryota; Viridiplantae; Streptophyta; Magnoliopsida; Rosales; Moraceae
Source: Rfam
GAAUGAUAUGAUGACUUUGAAUUCCCUAUUGGUUUGAUUGCCUAGAUGAUGGCAACUAAUGUAUUAGCUCUAGCUGAUCAUUC